AUGGGCUUCUGUUGUAGUUAUUUAAACAGGUUAGCGUCACGACAUUCUAAGGCAGCGGCUAACACUUUUCUAAAAGGCGGACAAUUUUCAGCCCUGCAACAUUCAUCAAGAGCUAGGGAGGAAUGGAAUAGUGCAGAAAAACUUAACUCAGAGGCAGCCACUAACAUUUUGAGUAUCAGGAAUAGUGAUUAUGAUAUCUCUAGAUUGAAUUACACUAAAAAUAUUGUCAUAACAUAA
Molecule: long non-coding RNA, 237 nt
Filed under: Vicia faba (fava bean)
Lineage: Eukaryota; Viridiplantae; Streptophyta; Magnoliopsida; Fabales; Fabaceae
Source: RNAcentral